GGGCGGGGAGUGUCGCGCCCGCUCCGGGCGGCGGCCGGGCGGUCUGGGCCGUGCGGCGGUGGCCGAGGAGGCGGCGGGGCGGUCAGGGCAGGCGUGAGAGCCCUCGGAACAGCCCGGCAGGAAGAGGCUUGCAAGGCUGGAUUCAGUCAUCUAGUUUGUGGGUCACAGUGUUCUCAGAAGGGGUAUCGUGCCCAAAGUGCCAGCUGUUUAACAGUAAUGCCCCCUGGAUCGUGCCUGGAACUGGUGAGCCAAAGGAUGUUGGGGCUGGAACAGAGGAGGCAGGAGAAGAGGAAAGCAGGGUGACUUUGCCUGGUGGAGCCGGCUGCAGAAGCGGAGGCCUUUCCUCCCAAGGACCCCGGCUUUGGCUUCACCACGCACACAGCAUGGUGGAGUGUGAGGAGGGAGCAUUUGAUGAUGUGUCUCAUAAUAUCUGAUAAAAGAAGUCGCUGUUUCAUGAAGGAAACCACCCUCGUUUAACCGUGUUGCUGUGGGAUUUUUCUACAUCUGUUUUCGAGACCCUGGGAAGGAAAUCACCCGGAAGCAGUUCAUGCAGUAUUACCUGGUGAGGGGUCUGGUGAGGGCACUUACAGUCUGUCCACCCAGGAAGGAGCUGGUACCUAUGGCGGCGUGCCCACCCCUGUGGUCUGCAAGCUCCGAUCCUGAGCAUCCCAGCCUUGGGGUAUAGACAAGACCGGUUUUUACUUUUCCCAGUAGCUCCCUCACUGAACGCUGAAUGUCAUGCCCACAUUCUUGCUGGGCGGAGGUCCCUGUAACAUCGUGGCCUAACUUCAUCAUUGACUAGCUUUUGCUCCUAAGACCUCAUUCUGUUUUUCUGUGAACUCCGAUCUUCUGUCUGAUUGGAAGCUUUUCUCCUAGUGUAGUCCUACCCUGACCCUGAGCAGGGUGGACCAGCACUGUCCACCCCGGGCUUUGUGCUGUGCUCGCAGGGUCCUCCCUGGCUUGUCCUUCUGAGUGCUGAAGUCAGGUGGAGUGCUCCUCCAGCUUAAGUGUAAACACAGAUAGGAGCGGAGGACUUGCUCCCCCUCUGCCCAUCGCCCUAAAUAACACACAGUUAAGAUCCGGACUUCCAUCUGUGUGAUGAUGUUUGUAGAAAAACCAUUGUUUCCCACCAGGGUCUGUAGCUGAGGCCUUUGUUGUCUGCCCGCACGUCUGUCCUCAGAGAGGCCCUUGCUCCCUGCUGGGUGGGGGAAUGGCAGCUGCCUCUCCUCUCUCCCAAGGAUCUGCCUCCUGCUGGGGAGGAGGGGUGAGACAGGGGUCCUCCUGUGUCUGCAUUCUGGACAGAUUCCAGAGUUCCCUCAAGGUCUGGCACCGCUGACAGUGACGUGUUUGUUCCGAGGCACAGCCUAGAGCACUGAACGGGGACGUGUUCCCUCCCUGGCUCACCUCACUCAGCGCUGCGCUCAGCCCCCGUGGUGCACAGGGGACGGGCAGCCUCUCCCCAGGCUCAGACCAAAAACCUGAUCUUCGUCACUCAGAGGAACUUUCAGGUUGGCUGGAAAAGUCCAGCAUGUGAGUGCUGCACCGUCUCCCAGCUCCUCCGCAGCUGUUGUGAGAUCACCGGAUGACAUCUUAGGGUGUCACAGAAGAGGACGUUUCCUUCCAAUUUUUAAAAUGAGGAGAAAGUAUAUUUGCAAAAAAUGGGAAGUAAAUAAGAAUAUAAAGAAGGAAGUCCCUGGCCUGCUCUGAGCAAGGUUACACAGGUGGGCACUGGUCUACACCCUGCCCCUUGGGCUUCACCACGUUGAGCUGUGUACCCAGGUGAUAGUGUAAUUGUGUCGGAGAAAGCAAGACUGGCCAGCCGGGCGGUGAUCCAAAAAGUAAGAGAUUGAAACAUGAUGGGGGCUGUAAGGAUGUCCCAAGCUCUUGCCUCUUUAAUGUGAGAGUCGGUGGAGUCUCUGGGGUCUCUGUUGCAGAAAAGCUGGGGUGUUCGGCUGCUCUGAGGCGUUUCUUUAACGAGCAUUAGGCUGCACUAUGGAAGCAUUGAGCUUUGUGGGGUGGUCAUAAGAUGCCACGGUUGGGAACACGUCCUCAUCACACAACCCUGAGUCUUUAUUUACUUUCCAGAAGGAGCAUUGUUGUAGUGAUCUGAGAUGCUGUCGAGAGCAGAUGGAUGGCAGAAGGAACCAGGGCACACCCCUGAAUUGUGUCUUUGAAGAGCUUCCCAGAGGAGCAUGUCUGCGUGCAGAUGGUUGGGUCCAGAGGCACCAAUAGCUUGUGGGCCUUGGGGAUUACGUUUUCAUUCUCCCUGGCACUGUUUUCUUGUGGUACCUGCAGCUGGGUGGACAGAAUGUUCCCGAAUCAGCUCUGUAUCUUAGGACUGCCCUGUAGUCAGUGUAAGACUGUUGUUUGUGUGCCUUCUGGAUUUCCAAGGCAGUGUGGAAUCUUAGUGCCUGGAUGUACCAAAUUUUAACUCCUGUUGCUGAAUUGGUUUCUGUUUAUUAAAAUGGAAAUAGGUUCAUA
Long non-coding RNA from Lynx canadensis (Canada lynx), 2481 nucleotides. RefSeq lists it as uncharacterized. The transcript has 6 exons. The record is from RefSeq and is a predicted model, not a curated record. NCBI's taxonomy places the organism in Eukaryota, Metazoa, Chordata, Mammalia, Carnivora, Felidae.